AGGUGAUCUGGCUGUGACAUCUGUCCCCUCAUUGAUCGCUAGCACUGAUUUGGCUGAUCUGGCUGUCUAAGCCAGUGUCCCCUUUUCUCCAUGUAGGUCCCUCACAAAGUUGCAUGAAGAGGAUGACCUUCCCCAAUAGAAGAGGAUCAUUCUCCUGUCAAGGGUAUAUAAAUAGGUGUACUCCCUUGAAAGAACUUCCAAACUCUGAUGUUUCAUUGGAAGUGAACCUGGGGGUCUUGCCGACUGGAGCUCCUCAAGGAAGCCCAGUUUAA
RNAcentral lists this small nuclear RNA (272 nucleotides) under Marmota monax (woodchuck). It matches the Rfam family "7SK RNA". Rfam says of the family: 7SK was discovered as an abundant small nuclear RNA in the mid-70s but a possible function has only recently been suggested. Lineage: Eukaryota; Metazoa; Chordata; Mammalia; Rodentia; Sciuridae. The record is from RNAcentral.